AGAAAAGGUAUCCUACAGACUGGUGCUUGGACCAGAGAUUAAGAAGUAACGCAUGAGAUUACAGGGGACUCUAACAACUUAAUGACAGGCCAACUUGCAACACCCAACAAAAUAAAAUCCUAUAUGGAGAUUUCUUCACAUGCAUGUACUCCUACUGCAGGUCAUCUGGGUCAGAGAGCUGAACCAAGAUGAGCCUGCCUCUGUGUCAAAGUUGGUAAGGUACAUAGAAUUCUUCCUCUUACGAAGAGAAAUUCUGUCCUAAAAGUAUUCUCUCACUUUUCUUUUUGGAGAAUAAUUAUUUUAGGUAUUUGCUUUUGUACUGUUAUUUUCAACUUGAUCUUUUAAUUAAUUGAAACUUCAAGUUGCAAGUUGUAGAUUAGGGAAGCCAAUUAUUUUGAAUUUCCUUGGGUUUGCUCCCAUAAUACUUACGUUGUGUCACACUUAAUUAUGUUGAUGGUAUAAAGUAGCAUACAGUUUUUCGUACAUAACUCUUUUAAUUUUGUCUUGGAAAAUGCUACGCCUGUCAUAAAUACGACCUACAACAUCCAUAGUAUAAUUUUAUUUAAAUACAGUAUAACUGCUCUAAGUAAAGUUUCAGCAGUUUUACUUCAGUUUUAGUGACUAUUCCCUAAAAUAUUGUUUGUGCUUUAAUAUCAGCAGUUGGUUACAUAACUUCAGAAUCUUUCUGAAAAAAAUAACGGAGUAUAUACUGCAUCUAUAAAUGCCAAGCAUGAAAUGAUUAGUAAGGGUGGAUAAAUAUACUCAUGACAGCAUACACUUUGCCAAAAUCAUGAAUUGAAUAUCUGCUUUUUACAGAUCUGAUCUACAUUUCAUUAAGUCAUUUGAUAGACUCUCUUAAGUGAUCUUUGGAUCAGGUAUUUGAAUGAAAAAAGAAAACGUUCUUCUGUGUUUGUUUUUAUUUUCCAGGUUUAUAUGUGUGAACUGGAUGCAAAGCUAUUUUUCACAGUACCUGUGCAUCCAGACCACAGCUACUUUUGACCCUACCAGCUAUUUUUCAUGUUUUAUAUUGAGAGAGGUAUGUUGCAUGAAUAACAACUGAAGCCUGAUUUCAUUAGGGAGAGUAUAUCUGUUUGUUGUUUUUUUUUUUUUUUCAAGUUUCUCUUACCUUCUAGUUACCAUGGGAGUAAUUGUAUGACAACGUAUUGUAGAAUGUCUGUACCUAAGUUAGUGAAAUCAAGAAGCAGUGCAGGAGAGUCAUUCAUUAAAUAAAGCUUGUAGAACAAGUCUCUGAAGCUUUUGC
Molecule: long non-coding RNA, 1261 nt
Filed under: Anas platyrhynchos platyrhynchos (common mallard)
Lineage: Eukaryota; Metazoa; Chordata; Aves; Anseriformes; Anatidae
Description: lncRNA (ENSAPLG00000027432.1)
Source: RNAcentral